CCGUCAAGUCGUAGCCAUCAAAUGAAGUGGGACGAGUAUGGCCGAAUUCGAAAGCAUUCGAGGAGGAGACGAAUUCGGACAAGUUGGUGACUCUUCGGAUGUCGGGUGGUGGGUUCCGGUUCGGGUUCGGGAAGUAAUGCAGCGAUGAAUCGUCGUCGGCCAUGGCUUCUGUUACUACACGUGAAUCAGUUACUAUUUUGUCUCUGCAAUCAACAGAAAACAAAAUAAAAUAUAAAAAAAGAAAUUAAUGAAUCAUGUAUGAACAGCUACAUAUUCCCAUUGCUUGGUUCAGUUCCCAAACAGAACAGAACAGAAAAAAGACAAGAAUAACAUAUAAAUUAUCGAUCUUGUUUGGAAGGAGGAUUUGAAAAAUACAUGCGUUUGGUACAAAUUAGAAAAUUGGUUCUAAAAAAUGUGAAUAAAUCAUGAAUGCCAAACACGGACUUAGAUUCUUGAAACGAUACACAACUAGUACUGCAGGAAAGUCAAACAAAUCUUUAAGCUUGGAGUUUUAGAUCUGAUAAGCUAUGAAACUUCAACGAGGCAAAAGAGAGAUCAUGUCAAGAAUCCUUUCAUCUCAAUAAUUCUAGUGAUUGGAAGAGAGUUCUCAUCAGUUUUAUAGGAUUCAUUACAGAUCAAUCGUACCGACGAGAAGAAGAAAGAGAAGAGCUUAAGAUAGCUUACCACGUGGCGGAUUCCGGCGGGCAGAGAUGGAGUUGGGUUUUGGUGGAAGGACUGAAUAGUAAUUUCAGCUGGAGUUUUCUGGGCAGAGGGAGAAGUGAACGAAUGGAGGAAUAAUAUUGUUUGUU
RNAcentral lists this long non-coding RNA (809 nucleotides) under Linum usitatissimum (flax). RNAcentral describes it as "long non-coding RNA (LUSI_LNC002225)". Lineage: Eukaryota; Viridiplantae; Streptophyta; Magnoliopsida; Malpighiales; Linaceae. The record is from RNAcentral.